RNAcentral lists this ribosomal RNA (868 nucleotides) under uncultured archaeon. Its description in RNAcentral is "bacterial SSU rRNA". It matches the Rfam family "Archaeal small subunit ribosomal RNA", at positions 1 to 878 of the family's 1478-position model. The record is from RNAcentral.
CUCCGGUUGAUCCCGCCCGACCCGACUGCUAUCAGAGUGGGACUAAGCCAUGCGAGUCAACGUAGCAAUACGUGGCAUACGGCUCAGUAACACGUAGUCAACAUGCCCAGGGGACGAGGAUAACCUCGGGAAACUGAGGAUAAACCUCGAUAGGCCAUGAUUUCUGGAAUGAUUCUUGGCUCAAACCUAUAUGGCCCCUGGAUUGGACUGCGGCCGAUCAGGCUGUUGGUGAGGUAAUGGCCCACCAAACCUAUUACCGGUACGGGCUCUGAGAGGAGGAGCCCGGAGAUGGGCACUGAGACAAGGGCCCAGGCCCUAUGGGGCGCAGCAGGCGCGAAACCUCUGCAAUAGGCGAAAGCCUGACAGGGUUACUCUGAGUGACUUUCGCUAAGAAAGUCUUUUGGCACCUCUAAAAAGGGUGCAGAAUAAGGGGUGGGCAAGUCUGGUGUCAGCCGCCGCGGUAAUACCAGCACCCCGAGUGGUCGGGACGAUUAUUGGGCCUAAAGCAUCCGUAGCCGGUCCUGCAAGUCUUCCGUUAAAUCCAGCUGCUCAACAGAUGGGCUGCGGGAGAUACUACAGGGCUAGGAGGCGGGAGAGGUAAGCGGUACUUUAUGGGUAGGGGUAAAAUCCGCUGAUCCAUAGAAGACCACCAGUGGCGAAGGCGGCUUGCCAGAACGCGCUCGACGGUGAGGGAUGGAAGCUGGGGGAGCAAACCGGAUUAGAUACCCGGGUAGUCCCAGCUGUAAACGAUGCAGACUCGGUGAUGGGUUGGCCUCGCGCCUGCCCAGUGCCGCAGGGAAGCCGUUAAGUCUGCCGCCUGGGGAGUACGGUCGCAAGACUGAAACUUAAAGGAAUUAACGGGGGAGCA